ACACAUGCAAGUCGAGGGGUAUGGUUCUUCGGAACCAGAGACCGGCGCACGGGUGCGUAACGCGUAUGCAAUCUACCUUUUGCAGAGGGAUAGCCCAGAGAAAUUUGGAUUAAUACCUCAUAGUAUAACGACUCGGCAUCGAGAUGUUAUUAAAGUCACAACGGCAAAAGAUGAGCAUGCGUCCCAUUAGUUAGUUGGUAAGGUAACGGCUUACCAAGACUACGAUGGGUAGGGGUCCUGAGAGGGAGAUCCCCCACACUGGUACUGAGACACGGACCAGACUCCUACGGGAGGCAGCAGUGAGGAAUAUUGGACAAUGGGCGCAAGCCUGAUCCAGCCAUGCCGCGUGCAGGAUGACGGUCCUAUGGAUUGUAAACUGCUUUUGCACAGGAAGAAACAACGCUACGUGUAGCGUCUUGACGGUACUGUGAGAAUAAGGAUCGGCUAACUCCGUGCCAGCAGCCGCGGUAAUACGGAGGAUCCAAGCGUUAUCCGGAAUCAUUGGGUUUAAAGGGUCCGUAGGCGGUCUUAUAAGUCAGUGGUGAAAUCUCCCCGCUCAACGGGGAAACGGCCAUUGAUACUGUAGGACUUGAAUUAUUAGGAAGUAACUAGAAUAUGUAGUGUAGCGGUGAAAUGCUUAGAGAUUACAUGGAAUACCAAUUGCGAAGGCAGGUUACUACUAAUGGAUUGACGCUGAUGGAUGAAAGCGUGGGUAGCGAACAGGAUUAGAUACCCUGGUAGUCCACGCCGUAAACGAUGGAUACUAGCUGUUGGGCGCAAGUUCAGUGGCUAAGCGAAAGUGAUAAGUAUCCCACCU
This 817-nucleotide ribosomal RNA is filed under the name uncultured bacterium. Its description in RNAcentral is "bacterial SSU rRNA". It matches the Rfam family "Bacterial small subunit ribosomal RNA", at positions 51 to 874 of the family's 1533-position model. The record is from RNAcentral.